GAAAUGCGAUAAGUAGUGUGAAUUGCAGAAUUCAGUGAAUCAUCGAAUCUUUGAACGCACAUUUCGCCCUUUGGUAUUCCAAAGGGCAUGCCUGUUCGAGCGUCAUUUGUACCCUCAAGCUUUGCUUGGUGUUGGGCGUCUUGUCUCUAGCUUUGCUGGAGACUCGCCUUAAAGUAAUUGGCAGCCGGCCUACUGGUUUCGGAGCGCAGCACAAGUCGCACUCUCUAUCAGCAAAGGUCUAGCAUCCAUUAAGCCUUUUUUCAACUUUUGACCUCGGAUCAGGUAGGGAUACCCGCUGAACUUAAGC
RNAcentral lists this unclassified non-coding RNA (307 nucleotides) under plant metagenome. RNAcentral's name for it is "partial contains 5.8S ribosomal RNA, internal transcribed spacer 2, and large subunit ribosomal RNA". The stretch from base 1 to 105 matches the Rfam family "5.8S ribosomal RNA", at positions 50 to 154 of the family's 154-position model. The record is from RNAcentral.